AGCCAUGUGGUAAGCACAAAGCGAACUAUUCUUUCGCCUUUUACUAAAGAAUACCGUGUGCUUGCCACCUAACUGUGGCAUAAGCUUAUUUUUGGAGGGCUAAUCUCACCAGAGUAC
Molecule: small nuclear RNA, 117 nt
Filed under: Manihot esculenta (cassava)
Lineage: Eukaryota; Viridiplantae; Streptophyta; Magnoliopsida; Malpighiales; Euphorbiaceae
Description: U5 spliceosomal RNA
Rfam family: U5 spliceosomal RNA
About the family: U5 RNA is a component of both types of known spliceosome.
Source: Rfam by way of RNAcentral